This 497-nucleotide ribosomal RNA is filed under the name uncultured bacterium. Its description in RNAcentral is "partial 16S ribosomal RNA". It matches the Rfam family "Bacterial small subunit ribosomal RNA", at positions 28 to 507 of the family's 1533-position model. The record is from RNAcentral.
GAUGAACGCUGGCGGCGUGCCUAAUACAUGCAAGUCGAGCGAACGGACGAGAAGCUUGCUUCUCUGAUGUUAGCGGCGGACGGGUGAGUAACACGUGGAUAACCUACCUAUAAGACUGGGAUAACUUCGGGAAACCGGAGCUAAUACCGGAUAAUAUUUUGAACCGCAUGGUUCAAAAGUGAAAGACGGUCCUGCUGUCACUUAUAGAUGGAUCCGCGCUGCAUUAGCUAGUUGGUAAGGUAACGGCUUACCAAGGCAACGAUGCAUAGCCGACCUGAGAGGGUGAUCGGCCACACUGGAACUGAGACACGGUCCAGACUCCUACGGGAGGCAGCAGUAGGGAAUCUUCCGCAAUGGGCGAAAGCCUGACGGAGCAACGCCGCGUGAGUGAUGAAGGUCUUCGGACCGUAAAACUCUGUUAUUAGGGAAGAACAUAUGUGUAAGUAACUGUGCACAUCUUGACGGUACCUAAUCAGAAAGCCACGGCUAACUACGUG